UCGUUCACUCUUGUGUUCCUU
This 21-nucleotide non-coding RNA is filed under the name Caenorhabditis elegans. The record is from RNAcentral. Lineage: Eukaryota; Metazoa; Nematoda; Chromadorea; Rhabditida; Rhabditidae.